RNAcentral lists this ribosomal RNA (513 nucleotides) under uncultured bacterium. RNAcentral describes it as "partial 16S ribosomal RNA". It matches the Rfam family "Bacterial small subunit ribosomal RNA", at positions 29 to 523 of the family's 1533-position model. The record is from RNAcentral.
AACGAACGCUGGCGGCGUGCCUAACACAUGCAAGUCGAGCGCGAAAAGGGCAACCUGAGUAGAGCGGCGCACGGGUGCGUAACACGUGGGUAAUCUGCCUUAGAGUCGAGGAUAACCUUCCGAAAGGUUGGCCAAUACUCGGUAAGCUUACGGUGUCUUCGGACGCUGUGGGAAAAGUAUGCCUCUGUUUACAAGCUUACGCUCUGAGAUGAGCCCGCGGCCCAUCAGCUAGUUGGCGGUGUAACGGACCACCAAGGCAACGACGGGUAGCUGGUCUGAGAGGACGAUCAGCCACAGUGGAGCUGAGACACGGUCCAGACUCCUACGGGAGGCAGCAGUGGGGAAUUUUCCACAAUGGGCGAAAGGCUGAUGGAGCAACGCAGCGUGUGUGAUGAAGGUUUUCGGAUCGUAAAGCACUUUCGACCGGGACUAAAAACCUCUGGCUAACAUCCAGGGGCCUGACGGUACCGGGAGAAGAAGCACCGGCUAACUCUGUGCCAGCCGCCGCCGUAA